GCCCGUGUAGCUCAGUUCGGUAGAGCACUUGCAUGGUAAGCAAGAGGUCACCGGUUCAAUCCCGGUCGCGGGCU
RNAcentral lists this transfer RNA (74 nucleotides) under Candidatus Rifleibacteriota bacterium. RNAcentral's name for it is "tRNA-Thr". It matches the Rfam family "tRNA". From Rfam's summary of the family: Transfer RNA (tRNA) molecules are approximately 80 nucleotides in length. Lineage: Bacteria; Candidatus Rifleibacteriota. RNAcentral also lists the same sequence under 1 other name. The record is from RNAcentral.